CUUGUUAUUUGGGAUUUGAAAUUUCAGAUCUUAAAACCUGUUUGUCAUUGAUGGGCUCCUCAGAGACUAAACGCAAAGCAUCUCAUUUUCCUCGCAUUCAAUUGCGAAGACCGAAGGGUAACUUUCUUUGGUUGGCGAUGAGUUGAAGAUAUAGUCCGAGCUGCAUGGCGACAUGUAGAGGUUGACAGAAAUGGUCAACCCGCCGUCAAAGUUAGUAAUAUUGGUUUUGUUAUGCUUUCAGUCUUGCGUCAUGUUACAUUUGUUGUAACAGUUUGGCGCGGUUCGCUACCAUUGAAAGCAAAAACUAAUCAACUUUGAUCGGUAGUAACAAAUCGGGACGGUCCUAAGGUAGCGAAGUUCCUUGUCGGGUAAGUUCCGACCUGCAUGAAAGGCGUAACGACAGAAGCACUGUCUCAACCAGUGACCCGGUGAAAUUGUAGUCGUGGUGAAGAUGCCACGUUCCCGCAGCUAGACGGAAAGACCCCGUGAACCUUUACUAUAGGCUGAUAUUGGGCUGUGGUAUGUACUGUGUAGGAUAGGUGGGAGGCUUUGAACUCCGGACGCCAGUUCGGAGGGAGCCUUUGGUGAAAUACCACCCUUUACAUGCUUUAGUUCUAACGCUGAUUCCCGUGAAUCCGGGCAGCGAACAGUGUCAGUUGGGUAGUUUGACUGGGGCGGUCUCCUCCUAAAGAGUAACGGAGGAGCCCAAUAGGUACCCUCAGCCUGGUUGGCAAUCAGGCUUCGAGCGCAAAGGUAUAAGGGUGCUAAACUGUGAGACUUAUCAGUCGAACAGGUACGAAAGUAGGGCUUAGUGAUCCGGUGGUUCCGUAUGGAAGGGCCAUCGCUCAACAGAUAAAAGGUACUCCGGGGAUAACAGGCUUAUCGCUCCCGAGCGUCCAUAGCGGCGGAGCGGUUUGGCACCUCGAUGUCGGCUCAUCACAUCCUGGGGGUGAAGAAGCUCCCAAGGGUUUGGCUGUUCGCCAAUGAAAGUGGUACGUGAGCUGGGUUCAGACCGUCGUGAGACAGGUCGGUCCCUAUCUGCCGUGGGCGUACGAAACUUGAGGAGGUUCUUCUUUAGUACGAGAGGAUUUGGAAGGACGGCCCUCUGGUGUUCCAGUUGUCGCGCUAGCGGCACGGCUGGGUAGCUAAGGUCGGAAAGGAUAAACGCUGAAAGCAUAUAAGCGUGAAGCCCUCUCCAAGAUUAGGUUUCGUAGGCCAAUGGCCGAGAGUCCCCUGGAAGACUACCAGGUUGAUAGGCCGGAUGUGUAAGCACAGUAAUGUGUUCAGCUAACCGGUACUAAUGGACGAACGCUUGACCGC
This 1320-nucleotide ribosomal RNA is filed under the name marine sediment metagenome. RNAcentral's name for it is "bacterial LSU rRNA". It matches the Rfam family "Bacterial large subunit ribosomal RNA", at positions 1822 to 2925 of the family's 2925-position model. The record is from RNAcentral.